Molecule: ribosomal RNA, 203 nt
Filed under: uncultured Lactobacillus sp.
Lineage: Bacteria; Bacillati; Bacillota; Bacilli; Lactobacillales; Lactobacillaceae
Description: partial 16S ribosomal RNA
Rfam family: Bacterial small subunit ribosomal RNA
Source: RNAcentral
GAUGCUAAUACCGGAUAACAACAGAUGAUGCCUAUCAACUGUUUAAAAGAUGGUUCUGCUAUCACUCUUGGAUGGACCUGCGGUGCAUUAGCUAGUUGGUAGGGUAACGGCCUACCAAGGCGAUGAUGCAUAGCCGAGUUGAGAGACUGAUCGGCCACAUUGGGACUGAGACACGGCCCAAACUCCUACGGGAGGCAGCAGUG